GUUUAUUCAUGCAAUAACCACAAGCUGUGGUUUAUCCCUGUACUUGUUUUCAUCUUGAAAUACAUUAUUGCGCAUAGAGAGAAGGCAAAAACACGAAAAGAAAAAGAACUGGAAAACUAGGAAAUCUUGAUCUGAUACAGAUUUGUGACACGUUAAUAGGACCUGAUCACUUCUUUGAAACUGCUGACAUCCUCUUGUAGCCGUUUACUAGGGGUACAAAUAUAUGACAAAACAACAGGUUAUAUAGAUCACCAUUCUCUGAAACUGUAAUAUCCUUGUAGCCUGAUUUAGAGAAGAUUUACUUUCGGAUGAAACGUUACUGCCCACUCUCUUCCAUCUUCUUUUUCAUUUUGAAUUGCAAUGUGGCAGGAGCACAAUCCAGUGGUGUCUCACCUUGUGAAUUUUUGCAGUACAAACUUGAUCCAUUCUCCAUCAGUGCAAAUGCUAUUUCUGUUCGAUUGAAUACCGCUGCCAGAUGCAGCAAUGAUGAUCCUUGCUUGUCAAAGUAAUUUGCAUCAACUCCCUGACUUAGGAGCUUCUUUGCUGCACCGACAUCACCAUUUUUUAUUGCUUCUCUUAAACCCUCGCCACUGACUUCAUAAUCCGCUGUCAUUGUCUCCAUAUUGCAGCUGGUAGCUGGACCAACAUUGAAAGUUGUACCUUGCUUGUUGUAUGAUGUCGAAGCUCUACUUGUUGGAAUUUUAUUUUCCUUCUUUGGUUUUGGAUUUAUGUUUACAAUUGGAUUUGGCAUAAUAAUUCCCUGCUGGAAUCAAAAAAAAAUAUAAAGGAAUUGUCAUUUGCUCAAAAAGCAUUUGAAGGCCAGUAAAUAUGUCCUUUCCUGUGAAGCAAUGGAUGUUGUUGGUGUAGCUGACACUUGGCAGAUACACAAAGGCAUCCCACAUUUGCAGUCUGUGAUGCCUACAGCAGGAGUCUGCUUGACAGUGUCUUCAGUUUUGAUAUCUGCCACGACACCAACAUCUAAAGCUGAAAAUGAAUCUUUCAGGGCAUUGACUUCACUUGCAGAAGCCAUCACGCCAUCUCCAACGGGUCCACGAGAGGAGUUAUUAAAACAAUCUCCACAAACUCUCACACUUGAGUGAAGACCAAAUUGUGGCAAGGCCAUCUGAUUUGCUGAAUGUUCAGCACAUAAUGUUCGGCCGCAACAUCUGCAAUGGUGCCGUCGCCGGAAAGUAUUGAAGCUGCAAUUGCAGACAUCACAACGUGAAGCUUCUUGAAAUGGCGGUGGUUCCGACGACAUCUUCCGAUCUCCGAUCUCGCUUACUCGCUCGCCCUCCCGCUCGAUUCACUGCUAUUCCUGAUAUUUUCGGAGUACUACUUUUCUUCUG
Molecule: unclassified non-coding RNA, 1346 nt
Filed under: Hevea brasiliensis (rubber tree)
Lineage: Eukaryota; Viridiplantae; Streptophyta; Magnoliopsida; Malpighiales; Euphorbiaceae
Source: RNAcentral